AGGACUGAACCGGCCGUGGCUGCUGCUGCCGCUGGGAGCCUCCCGGCUGCGCCAGACAGGGAGGGAUCAGCCGAGCCCUUCAGCGACACAAGCCCCACGCACGGGCUGAGCUGGACGAGAGCCGCAUUUUGCCUCUCCGGGCCUGAUAAAGCGCUGAGUCAGGCAGGCCGGGGGGUUUGUUUGAGGCUCCGGCACACAUGGAGCGGAGCAGGGCAGCGGAGGCAGCAGAGGUGUGACCUCCGCAGGGGAGGAGCUCGCUCUGCCCUCCCUGGGCACCGGCAGCUCGGGGAAGGCUCCGAUGAGCAGCGACCAUCGGCAGCUUCUCCUGGCAGAAAUCAGAGGCGAGGCAGGGACGCUGUUUUCGGGGGAGAAGAGAGGAUUUGUGAGCUCAGAUCACAGAAUCACUAGAUUUCCCUUGGCACAAUGUGAAGCUGUGUCCUCUCGUUCUGUCAGCUGCUGCCUGGAAAAAGAGACCAAGCCCACCUGACUACAGGAGUCCUGUGACUGCUGCCCGUCUGUUCUGCACCGCUGGAUGCUCCAGUCGCACUCUGGGCAUGACCUCUUCUGCCAUCCUGGCAGUGUCACCCCUCAAAAUUCCAUUUAUUAAUUAAAACUGAUCGCCUUUUGUGCCCCUCCUCCCUUUAUGUGUUUUCAGAAUUUCCCAGUACACGAGCAAAUGUUGACAGGAUCAUCUUCCAGUAACUUCUUGAGUCAGGAGAAGAUGGGACCAAGCCCCUGUGCUGUCAAACUGGUGCCAGGGAUCAGCAGCCUGCUGCUGUUUGUCAGCUUUAUCGUGGCAGGACAGGAUGUUGUUUAAAGCAGAUUUAGAAAUCAUUUCUGUGAAUAAGGUUAAAGGAAAACCCAUCUUGAUAAAGAUGAAAGAAAAUGGCUUUUACUGAGAAUCUCAGAGGGGUUUUUGCCAAGAUAAGCAGCGCCUGGCUUGACUAAGAGAAUUGCUGCUGAAUAUUUCAUGAAGGAUAUUGCCUUUAUUUGGCUUAGUUUAAUGGACAUGUUGGCUUUAAUUUAGUUAAAUAUUUUGAUUCUA
This is a long non-coding RNA of Poecile atricapillus (Black-capped chickadee), 1045 nucleotides long. RefSeq lists it as uncharacterized. The record is from RefSeq and is a predicted model, not a curated record. Lineage: Eukaryota; Metazoa; Chordata; Aves; Passeriformes; Paridae. The transcript is spliced from 3 exons.